RNAcentral lists this ribosomal RNA (527 nucleotides) under uncultured Gammaproteobacteria bacterium. RNAcentral's name for it is "bacterial SSU rRNA". It matches the Rfam family "Bacterial small subunit ribosomal RNA", at positions 8 to 524 of the family's 1533-position model. Lineage: Bacteria; Pseudomonadati; Pseudomonadota; Gammaproteobacteria. The record is from RNAcentral.
AGAGUUUGAUUAUGGCUCAGAUUGAACGCUGGCGGCAGGCCUAACACAUGCAAGUCGAACGGUAACAGGAAGCAGCUUGCUGCUUCGCUGACGAGUGGCGGACGGGUGAGUAAUGUCUGGGAAACUGCCUGAUGGAGGGGGAUAACUACUGGAAACGGUAGCUAAUACCGCAUAACGUCGCAAGACCAAAGAGGGGGACCUUAGGGCCUCUUGCCAUCGGAUGUGCCCAGAUGGGAUUAGCUAGUAGGUGGGGUAACGGCUCACCUAGGCGACGAUCCCUAGCUGGUCUGAGAGGAUGACCAGCCACACUGGAACUGAGACACGGUCCAGACUCCUACGGGAGGCAGCAGUGGGGAAUAUUGCACAAUGGGCGCAAGCCUGAUGCAGCCAUGCCGCGUGUAUGAAGAAGGCCUUCGGGUUGUACAGUACUUUCAGCGGGGAGGAAGGGAGUAAAGUUAAUACCUUUGCUCAUUGACGUUACCCGCAGAAGAAGCACCGGCUAACUCCGUGCCAGCAGCCGCGGUAAU